CCGGACGGCAGGCAGGCAUACGUCACCAACGUCGCCUCCAACGCGGUGUCGGUGCUCGGCACCGCGCGCUGACGGCUCGGUGUCGUCCCGCCUGGGC
RNAcentral lists this transfer RNA (97 nucleotides) under Saccharopolyspora thermophila. RNAcentral describes it as "tRNA-Trp". Lineage: Bacteria; Bacillati; Actinomycetota; Actinomycetes; Pseudonocardiales; Pseudonocardiaceae. The record is from RNAcentral.